AUACGGAGGGUGCAAGCGUUAUCCGGAAUCACUGGGUUUAAAGGGUGCGUAGGCGGCUAAAUAAGUCAGAGGUGAAAUCUUUCCGCUUAACGGAAAAAUUGCCUUUGAAACUGUAUAGCUUGAAUGAAGUUGAGGUUAGCGGAAUGUGACAUGUAGCGGUGAAAUGCAUAGAUAUGUCAUAGAACACCAAAUGCGAAGGCAGCUAGCUAGGCUUGAAUUGACGCUGAGGCACGAAAGCGUGGGGAGCGAACAGGAUUAGAUACCCUAGUAGUCC
RNAcentral lists this ribosomal RNA (274 nucleotides) under uncultured bacterium. RNAcentral's name for it is "partial 16S ribosomal RNA". It matches the Rfam family "Bacterial small subunit ribosomal RNA", at positions 523 to 796 of the family's 1533-position model. The record is from RNAcentral.